AUUGAACGCUGGCGGCAUGCUUUACACAUGCAAGUCGAACGGUGACAGGCCGCAAGGUGCUGACGAGUGGCGAACGGGUGAGUAAUGCAUCGGAACGUGCCCAGUCGUGGGGGAUAACUACUCGAAAGAGUAGCUAAUACCGCAUACGAUCUAUGGAUGAAAGCGGGGGACCGUAAGGCCUCGCGCGAUUGGAGCGGCCGAUGUCAGAUUAGGUAGUUGGUGGGGUAAAGGCUCACCAAGCCAACGAUCUGUAGCUGGUCUGAGAGGACGACCAGCCACACUGGGACUGAGACACGGCCCAGACUCCUACGGGAGGCAGCAGUGGGGAAUUUUGGACAAAGGGCGCAAGCCUGAUCCAGCAAUGCCGCGUGCAGGAAGAAGGCCUUCGGGUUGUAAACUGCUUUUGUACGGAACGAAACGGCUCUGGUUAAUACCCGGGGCUAAUGACGGUACCGUAAGAAUAAGCACCGGCUAACUACGUG
This 482-nucleotide ribosomal RNA is filed under the name uncultured bacterium. RNAcentral's name for it is "partial 16S ribosomal RNA". It matches the Rfam family "Bacterial small subunit ribosomal RNA", at positions 30 to 507 of the family's 1533-position model. The record is from RNAcentral.